RNAcentral lists this ribosomal RNA (450 nucleotides) under uncultured bacterium. RNAcentral describes it as "bacterial SSU rRNA". It matches the Rfam family "Bacterial small subunit ribosomal RNA", at positions 29 to 523 of the family's 1533-position model. The record is from RNAcentral.
AACGAACGCUGGCGGCAUGCCUAACACAUGCAAGUCGAACGAGACCUUCGGGUCUAGUGGCGCACGGGUGCGUAACACGUGGGAAUCUGCCCUUGGGUUCGGAAUAACAGUUGGAAACGACUGCUAAUACCGGAUGAUGACGUAAGUCCAAAGAUUUAUCGCCCAAGGAUGAGCCCGCGUCGGAUUAGCUAGUUGGUGGGUAAAGGCCUACCAAGGCGACGAUCCGUAGCUGGCUGAGAGGAUGAUCAGCCACACUGGGACUGAGACACGGCCCAGACUCCUACGGGAGGCAGCAGUGGGGAAUAUUGGACAAUGGGCGAAAGCCUGAUCCAGCAAUGCCGCGUGAGUGAUGAAGGCCUUAGGUUGUAAACCUCUUCAGCUCCGACGAAGCGGAAGUGACGGUAGGAGCAGAAGAAGCACCGGCCAACUACGUGCCAGCCGCCGCCGUAA